CGGCGGGAAAGACUCCCCGGAGGGUGUAAGACCCGUGUGGGCGCGUGUCAAAGCUGUGCGGGCUCGGCCUCUUUUCCCUGAGAGUCGCGUUGCUUGAGCAUGCAGCGCUAAGCAGGUCGUAAACUCGAUCUAAGGCUAAAUAUCUCCACAGAACCGAUAGCGAACAAGUACCGUGAGGGAAAGUUGAAAAGCACUCUGGAGAGAGAGUCAAAAGACCGUGAAACCGCUCAGAGUAUAAGCCCAUGGCAGCUUGGAAGGCAUAUCGCGAGCGGGGCAUCGGUCUUCCUUCGCGGGGAGCCGGUGUUACCUUGCCUCUGUUGUGGCUCGUCAUGGUAGGGGGGUCAAGUCCACAUCCCGCCGUCGUGUGGGAAGUUCUUGGGCGUGUCGUUGCUUUGCGGUUGACCUCGGUUGACCGUAGGGCUCUUCGCGCUUGGUUCUUCUUUAGACACGGACGUUCAGACUCGGAGGCAAGACGCGAUAACCAGCCCACCACGGCACGUUGUGAGGUCACCCACAGGCUCAACUUUCGAUUGUGGUCCUUGACGCCGAGCAAGCACAAUGCGUGUCGCAGAUGUUCCUAACCGGGCAGAUUUUGUCAGGACCGUGGAACGACACGCGCUCAACAGUCAGGACCGGGCGAUGACAGAGUUCUGGUACGAUCCUCUUGCGACGAACCGCCUUCUGGCCGACUUCCGAUGCUCAGGUCUCCCGCAUGUGCCGCGGGAGAUCGCUUUGGCGGUCUGGACCCGUAAGAGUCCUCUCAGCCGGGCA
Molecule: ribosomal RNA, 771 nt
Filed under: Gammarus uludagi
Lineage: Eukaryota; Metazoa; Arthropoda; Malacostraca; Amphipoda; Gammaridae
Description: partial 28S ribosomal RNA
Rfam family: Eukaryotic large subunit ribosomal RNA
Source: RNAcentral